GACGAACGCUGGCGGCGUGCUUAACACAUGCAAGUCGAACGAAGAUUGCAGCAAUGUAAUCUUAGUGGCGGACGGGUGAGUAACGCGUGGGCAACCUGCCUUAUACAGGGGGAUAACACUGGGAAACUAGUGCUAAUACCGCAUGAGAUCACGACAUGACAUCAUGAAGGGAUCAAAGGAGCAAUCCGGUAUAAGAUGGGGCCCGCGUCCGAUUAGCUAGUUGGUGAGGUAACGGCCCACCAAGGCGACGAUCGGUAGCCGAACUGAGAGGUUGAUCGGCCACAUUGGGACUGAGACACGGCCCAGACACCUACGGGUGGCAG
RNAcentral lists this ribosomal RNA (323 nucleotides) under uncultured Bacillota bacterium. Its description in RNAcentral is "bacterial SSU rRNA". It matches the Rfam family "Bacterial small subunit ribosomal RNA", at positions 28 to 351 of the family's 1533-position model. The record is from RNAcentral. Lineage: Bacteria; Bacillati; Bacillota.